UAGUCCACGCCGUAAACGAUGUGUGCUAGUUGUCGGGUCCAUAGGAUUCGGUGACGCAGUUAACGCACUAAGCACACCGCCUGGGGAGUACGGUCGCAAGAUUAAAACUCAAAGGAAUUGACGGGGACCCGCACAAGCGGUGGAGCAUGUUGUUUAAUUCGACGCAACGCGAAGAACCUUACCUACACUCGACAUACUCGUCGGGACUUUCAGGGAUGAUUGUCUUCGGUUCGGCCGGACGAUGUACAGGUGCUGCACGGCUGUCGUCAGCUCGUGUCGUGAGAUGUUUGGUUAAGUCCAGCAACGAGCGCAACCCCUAUCGUAUGUUGCCAGCAUUCAGUUGGGCACUCAUGCGAGACUGCCGGUGUUAAGCCGGAGGAAGGUGGGGACGACGUCAAGUCAUCAUGGCCCUUACGUGUAGGGCUACAAACGUGCUACAAUGGGAGUUACAGAGGGUCGCGAAGCCGCGAGGUGGAGCUAAUCUCAGAAAACUUUUCGUAGUCCGGAUUG
This 510-nucleotide ribosomal RNA is filed under the name uncultured bacterium. Its description in RNAcentral is "bacterial SSU rRNA". It matches the Rfam family "Bacterial small subunit ribosomal RNA", at positions 791 to 1300 of the family's 1533-position model. The record is from RNAcentral.